GGCGAGAGAGCUCAGUUGGCUAGAGCACACGGUUCAUACCCGUGGUGUCGAGGGUUCGAAUCCCCCUCUCGCUA
RNAcentral lists this transfer RNA (74 nucleotides) under Ruminococcus sp. AF13-28. RNAcentral's name for it is "tRNA-Met". It matches the Rfam family "tRNA". From Rfam's summary of the family: Transfer RNA (tRNA) molecules are approximately 80 nucleotides in length. Their secondary structure includes four short double-helical elements and three loops (D, anti-codon, and T loops). The record is from RNAcentral. Lineage: Bacteria; Bacillati; Bacillota; Clostridia; Eubacteriales; Oscillospiraceae.